Molecule: transfer RNA, 87 nt
Filed under: Ensifer meliloti
Lineage: Bacteria; Pseudomonadati; Pseudomonadota; Alphaproteobacteria; Hyphomicrobiales; Rhizobiaceae
Also listed under: 1 other name
Description: Sinorhizobium meliloti tRNA-OTHER
Rfam family: tRNA
About the family: Transfer RNA (tRNA) molecules are approximately 80 nucleotides in length. Their secondary structure includes four short double-helical elements and three loops (D, anti-codon, and T loops).
Source: RNAcentral
GGAGGGUUCCGCUAGGAAGGCUGGCAACUGGUCUUGAAAACCAGGGGAACCGAAAGGUUAGGGGUUCGACUCCUCAACCCUCCGCCA